CCCUUAGAUGUUCUGGGCUGCACGCGCGCUACACUGAUGCGCUCAACGAGUUUUAACCUUGCCUGGAAAGGUUGGGUAAUCUUUUUAAAACGCAUCGUGAUGGGGAUAGAUUAUUGCAAUUAUUAAUCUUCAACGAGGAAUUCCUAGUAAGCGCGAGUCAUAAGCUCGCAUCGAUUAAGUCCCUGCCCUUUGUACACACCGCCCGUCGCUACUACCGAUUGAACGUUUUAGUGAGGCAUUUGGACCGACGCAUCUCAGUUUAACCGCUGGUUUGUGUUGGAAAGACUUCCAAACUUGAGCGUUUAGAGGAAGUAAAAGUCGUAACA
RNAcentral lists this ribosomal RNA (326 nucleotides) under uncultured eukaryote. RNAcentral describes it as "partial 18S ribosomal RNA". It matches the Rfam family "Eukaryotic small subunit ribosomal RNA", at positions 1470 to 1796 of the family's 1831-position model. The record is from RNAcentral.